RNAcentral lists this ribosomal RNA (391 nucleotides) under uncultured eukaryote. RNAcentral's name for it is "partial 18S ribosomal RNA". It matches the Rfam family "Eukaryotic small subunit ribosomal RNA", at positions 592 to 976 of the family's 1831-position model. The record is from RNAcentral.
CAAUAGCGUAUAUUAAAGUUGUUGCAGUUAAAAAGCUCGUAGUUGGAUUUCUGUGAGAGUGCCGGUGUCGGCUGAUGCUUGUACGCAGGCGCUCUUACAUCCUUCUGUUAACUGUUCUUGGCAUUUUAUUGCUGGUUCAGGGCUCAGAUAUUUUACCUUGAGAAAAUUAGAGUGUUUCAGGCAGGCUUAUGCCGGAAUACAUUAGCAUGGAAUAAUGGAACAGGACCUGUGCGUCUCUCGGGGCGCCGGUCUCCGUUGUUGGUUUCGGGGACUAAUGUAAUGAUUAAUAGGGAUAGUUGGGGGCAUUAGUAUUUAAUAGUCGGAGGUGAAAUUCUCGGAUUUGUUAAAGACUAACUUAUGCGAAAGCAUUUGCCAAGGAUGUUUUCAUUAA